This 608-nucleotide ribosomal RNA is filed under the name uncultured bacterium. RNAcentral describes it as "bacterial SSU rRNA". It matches the Rfam family "Bacterial small subunit ribosomal RNA", at positions 110 to 753 of the family's 1533-position model. The record is from RNAcentral.
GUAACACGUGGGAACGUGCCUUUUGGUUCGGAAUAACUCAGGGAAACUUGUGCUAAUACCGAAUGUGCCCUUCGGGGGAAAGAUUUAUCGCCAUUAGAGCGGCCCGCGUCUGAUUAGCUAGUUGGUGAGGUAAAGGCUCACCAAGGCGACGAUCAGUAGCUGGUCUGAGAGGAUGAUCAGCCACAUUGGGACUGAGACACGGCCCAAACUCCUACGGGAGGCAGCAGUGGGGAAUCUUGCGCAAUGGGCGAAAGCCUGACGCAGCCAUGCCGCGUGAAUGAUGAAGGUCUUAGGAUUGUAAAAUUCUUUCAGUAGGGACGAUAAUGACGGUACCUACAGAAGAAGCCCCGGCUAACUUCGUGCCAGCAGCCGCGGUAAUACGAAGGGGGCUAGCGUUGCUCGGAAUUACUGGGCGUAAAGGGAGCGUAGGCGGACAUUUAAGUCAGGGGUGAAAUCCCGGGGCUCAACCUCGGAAUUGCCUUUGAUACUGGGUGUCUUGAGUAUGAGAGAGGUAUGUGGAACUCCGAGUGUAGAGGUGAAAUUCGUAGAUAUUCGGAAGAACACCAGUGGCGAAGGCGACAUACUGGCUCAUUACUGACGCUGAGGCU